Argiope bruennichi is the source of this 3436-nucleotide RNA transcript. It is a transcript of the gene named vesicle-associated membrane protein 3-like, with no coding region annotated. The transcript is spliced from 7 exons. The record is from RefSeq and is a predicted model, not a curated record. Lineage: Eukaryota; Metazoa; Arthropoda; Arachnida; Araneae; Araneidae.
CAAGUUCGUGUGUGGCAAUCGAGACAGCUGUCUUUUAAUUGAGUUAGUGGGCGACGUUCACCGCCAUAGGUGCUGUGAAUUUGCGUAAAACAUUAGUUUUUAAUUUGAAUAUAUUUGUAACUUUCAUAAUAGAGUGCUUCACUGUACAACAAUAAAAUGUCCACUGAAGGCAAUGAAGCUCUGUCACCUCCAACGAGGCAGCCAAAUCCACAACAGUCUGCAGCUUCCAAAAGGUUGCAGCAAACACAGGCACAAGUUGAUGAGGUUGUGGAUAUCAUGCGUACAAAUGUGGAGAAAGUAUUGGAAAGGGAUCAGAAAUUAUCUGAACUGGAUGACCGUGCAGAUGCUUUGCAACAAGGAGCCUCACAAUUUGAACAACAGGCAGGAAAGCUUAAAAGAAAAUUUUGGUGGAAAAAUUGUAAGAUGUGGGCAAUCUUAAUUGGAGUAGUUCUUAUUAUAAUUAUUGUUAUUGUUGCUUCAAGUUUAGCCUAAAGCUGGAUGGAAUGGUGUUCAAAGAAAAUUAUCUGUGGAGUAUUCAGCAAGAUAGCAACCUUUUCUUUUGCUAGUUUAUCUGGCUAGUUCAGGAUUCUGCACCAUGAAAUUUUAAAUUUGUUUAAAAUGCAUGCAAACAAUACACAUAGAUCAGCCUUUGGAAGUGGACAAAUUUAUUGAAGCUUUUGAAACCCUCUAUUGACUGUUGUUGCAACAUGUUCCCUUCUGUAGUAACAGUGUUCAAUUUUUUUUUUUUUUUUUACUGCUCCAAGAUUAUUUAUUGAUUUUUUUAAACAAACAAAAAUGUUAUAAAAUGAGAUUUAUUGUAUGUUAAUAAAAUUUUUGUUCUUUUUGCAUGUUUUAUUUGUGCACCUUUUUUUCAUAAAUUCAUUGAUAGUAUUUGCUUAAAUAUUAAUUGUUUAAAUUUAUUCAUUUUCUUAAAAUAUAACUUCCUGCUUCAAAAAAUGUUUAAAAAUUGCAAAUUUCUGUUGCUUAAUUCUUUUAUUAGUAUUAUAUCUACAAAAUUCCUUUCGUAUUGUUUUUAAAAAAAUAAUUUGUGUGCUAAAUUUCGCAAUAAAUUUUUUUAUAUAUAUUUGCAUAUAUUCUGAUACUAAUCUUAAUGAUUCCAAAACUAAUAUUUUUCUUUCUUAUAAAUUCUUAGUUAUGUAUUUAUCCAUGAUAUGUAUUUGUCUUAGAGAAUUUAUGGCUUUCAUUUUGACUUAUUUUUUAUUUGUAUAUGGUAAAUUGUUUCUAAGCGUUUUAUACGAUUAUCACAUAGAUACAUAUAUCUGUGAACUAUAUCCCAUUUGUAUAAUAUGCCAGUUUGUCAAGUGAUUAGAUUGGUGUUUGCUCUAUUACGGUUGUUCUGUCAAUUGUACUAAAUGUUUAAAUGUAGGAAAAAUGAUGCGGAUUCGUGAAUAGCAAACAUGAACCGAUCUGCUGACAACUUACUAUUCAUGUAGUUCAUGUGCUUGGAUGUAUUAAAAUUGAGCAUAUAGACACCUUUGCAAACAAAAUGUGAAUUAGUAUCAUACUUGUAUGUUUCAGUUUUCUGCACUGUAUUAUGAAGUUUAAUAUACAUUCCUGGAGUUACUUAUCUUACACAUAAUGACACGUUAUUUUCUAAGUUGUAUUCAAACCUCAGUUUAAUCAUUUUAAAAUUACAUAACUGUUGGCUUAAUCUUGUAUUAAAUUUUUUUUAACAUUUGUCAUCUGAAAUUAUAAGCUUGAUUUUAGAGUUUUAAAUUCUUUAAUGUUGCAAUUUUUAAUUGUUUUGAAAAAUAAAUUGAGAAAGUAUGAAGUGUUGUAUUGGUCACAUGAUAGUUUAUAAAUUAUUCAGCUCUUGAUCACAGUCAUUGUAUCAGAGAUGCUUGGAGUUUUCAUUAUUGAACAGAAAUAAUAUAUUUGAUUUUUAGAUGUAUAAGCAUAAUUUACCUUAUUAUUAUUAGUAUUUAUAUAAUUAAUACUAAAAUAAAGAUUUAUGAUGCAAAAAUAAAUUUGUUUAUUUAAUCAAAUAAUUCAUAAGAGUUAGGAGAAAUGUCUUUCUCUAACCCAUCACUUUAUUAACUAUGCAAACAAUCUUCGGUAGAAGAGAUAGUUUGAAAAUAUUAAAUGGGAUGUUUCCAUACAAGCUUCUUAUGCAACAUCUUUUUUCCUAAAAUUAAACAUUAUUAAAUAGUUUUCUAACCAAUGAAAUAUAAUAAACAGCAAAAUUAAUCUUUAUUAUAUUAUAAACACAUUUAAUAACAUCUGUUUUUAAUAUUUUGAAAUGGAUUGUUACACUAUAUAUUCAUCUGCAGCAAAGCCAUCAGCUUUUGCUUUCAUGUCAUUAUGAAAAGUGUGUGUCUGAAUUUCAUUAUUAAUAUAAAAAAAAAAAAUUAGAGAAAUCUUCUGUAUGAAAUUUAUUUUGAGAAAUGAAUAAAGGGUGCAGAUUAAUGCUGUGUAAAGUCUUUCUGUAGACUUGAAUGUGUUAUUUAUUCUUAUGCAUUAUUCAUGUAAAAUAAUUUGUUUUUAAUCAAUGCUUUUGAAAUAUUGGUUAAGUUUUUUUUAAAUAAAAAGUUUAAUAUUAAGAAUAUAUAAUAAAGUGUAAAUUAGAUGCAAUAAUAAUUUCCUGACCUUUAUAUUGAUAAUUUCUUCAAGUCCAACAUAACAGGAAUUGGAAAUCAACAGCAUAGAAACUUAAAAUGUGUAAAAAUAGUCAAAAUUAUCCAGGUUACUCGGGAUUUUUUUAAAUUAUUUUUUUUUUAAAUUUAUUUAUUCUUUUCUGACUUUGAGUGGCAGACAAUUGUGGAAGCUGUUUUGUAAUCAAAUAUAAAUGUGUUUCAUUUUUUAUUGAAAUGUUAUUGGUAAAACAAAUGAGCUUAAUUAAUUGGAUGUAAAUUUUAAGAAAAAACAACUUAAGGAGGAUAUAUUUGUACUAAAUGUGAUGCAUUUUCCUUACGCUUGUAGUAUUUAACUAUAUUUAAGAAUUUACCAAUCCAUUAUAAAAUUUCUAUAUGCUUAUCUAUUUUAUGCAUACUUUGUAAGAUAAACUCAUAUAAUAGUUUUCUUUUAAGCUUUUAUCCUAUAUACUAGAAAUUAAUCUGUUGAUUGUCCAAAAACUUUGUCAAGUAUUCUCUGGUCCAUUGACUGCAAACUUUUGCCCUAUAAUAUUGUGAGAGAAAAAUCAUGUAUAUCAUGUGUUGUUGGAAAUAGAUUGUUGAAGUGUAAAGUUAUUGUGUUGUUCUUGUAACAUAACUAUUGCAUAUUGUCAUUGUUUUGAGAUUUGAGAAUGAUGAGCACAUAAAAUGUAUAUACAUAUAUGACAGAUUAAGUUAUUUAUUAACUUUUAGAAAAAUGGGAUUUGAAAAAUCAAUGUUUUGGGGUUUAUUGUAUGAAAUAAUCAGUAUUAUUUCAGUAAUCUGUGUAUUAUUUGAUGAAUGUUAAUAAAUUAAUUUAUCUGCAA